UCUCAAAUUCUCAUCCCAUAUCUGAAAUUUCUCUCAUCUUAACGCCAAAUAUUCACCAAGUUUUCAAAAAGAUCCUAUAAAUUAUAUCAAUUUCUCUAUUGUUUUUCAAAGUUGCAGCAGAUGAUUUUCAAAAUCAGCCAUUGCUGAUCCAAGCUAGGGUAAAUUUCAGAUUCCUGAUCAUGGUUUUAGUUUAUUUGAGUCUUUAAUUCGAGUUUAACUUAAGUUUAAAUGGAUUUAUCAUAUAUCCGCUAAUUUUGUUCGAAAUGACCUUGAAAAUUGCAAAUCUCGUAUCUCUUUACUAAAUCUCUAAUUUAAAGUAUUUUUCAACUAAAUUUUACUAGAUUAAGAGGGUUUAUUCUUAAAUCAAUAGAUCAUGAAGGAUUUUUAAGAAAUCUAAUAACAAAGUUGAGUUUAAAGCUUGUUAAUGGAGGAUUUUUUUCGGAAAAGUGCAACUUCGAAUUUCUUAAGUCUAAAUUAGUUUAGAUCGAUUCUUUAAAGUAUAAUUAAGUGUUUAGAAUAAUUAUUGAAUGGUUAGAAUAGAUCCAGAUUGAGAAAUCUAAAUUUUGGUUAGUUUCGGCUAAGUUUUUUAUUUGAAAAAUAGAGACUGUAGUAUGUGGUUUUGUUUGAAUUUUUGGUGCUUUCAGAUGUGCUUUAACAUAUAUGUAUGUUAUAUGUGGUGUGGUUGAAUUGUCAGAUCCAUUGGUGCAUUCAUCAAGCAAGUCAAGAGGCAAGGAGAAAUUGAUUAGAAGCGUCAAUGUGAGUGUUCUGGUGUUUGGCUUCUAGUAAGUGUGAUUUCAGAUGUUAAUCAAAGGCUUAGGAGGUCUUAAAUGAGAUUAAAGGCUUUGGUGUAAGUUUUUUUUACCUUUUCUUGUGUUGAGUAAAGUAUGCCUAUGUGAUGCUUUGUUGAUGAUGUGUAAGUGUGUAAACUUGUAAGUAAAUGUGAUUUAAUAUAUGUAUAUGUGAUGUGAGUUGCCAUUUUUAUGCACAUGUAUGCAAGUCUAAGUGUGUGAGGAUUUAUGAGCAUUGUGAAAGUGUUGUAAACACCUAUAUGUGUGAGCAUGCAAAGUGAAUGUGUAAAGUAUUUGUGAAAAUUUGAAAUGGUUGUAUAAUGGGCAUAAAACAAUAAUAAACCAUGUGUUAUUAUGGUGUAUUGGUUUUUUGAUCACUUGGAACUAUUGGAUACAUUUUACAUGUCAUAGGAUUGUGAGUACGCACCACUAUCUGUUAUUCACUGGGACACCGUGGUGUGUUUGGAGAGUGUUAGCCAUGAGCUACACUUAUGGAAUAGUGUAUGGCUAUUGAGUCUUUGGUGUGUUUGGAGAUCCGAGUAUCCAAUGUUCAUGUAAGCAUAUAUGUG
This 1357-nucleotide long non-coding RNA is filed under the name Gossypium barbadense (sea-island cotton). Its description in RNAcentral is "long non-coding RNA (GBAR_LNC020090)". Lineage: Eukaryota; Viridiplantae; Streptophyta; Magnoliopsida; Malvales; Malvaceae. The record is from RNAcentral.